UGAUCUGAGUUCCCAGUCCCACCAAAUCACAACAGAAAAGAAGGAGCAUGUCCCUGCUCCCCAUUUUCCUUUGGUGGUUUUGUAACGAGUGCAGUUGCUGAGAUAUGCGUGCCAUGAUGAAAGAGCUGAUGAUUACAGAAUAACAGGAGACAGCAGAGCUUUUGUGACUAGCACACAGAGCUGAGUUGCUUGAGCAUCGCGUGUGCUGGGAGGUCUCAUUGUUUCAGCAAGGCUGCUCACCUACAGACAUAAACACCUCUAGCAUCCCCCUUGGACAUCUCUGGGGGUGUUAAGAUUGUCAGAGACGCCCGUGGUGUGGGGUGGCCCUACAGCAGAUCUGUGUCAUCCAUGGGAUGUGACUGGGAAGAGCGCAGCUGAACCUGCAGUGGCUAAAGCUUUUAAUUCUACCUGGGGGAGCCUGACUGGACAAAAUAAAGGAGUUAAGUCCUCCAAGGCCUGUUCCAGGGUGGAGGUCAGCACGUGCUUGCCACACGUCCCGGGGCUCCCCUUGGUGCCUCCCGUGACAUCGCUGCUUGUCGCUUCUGCGAGCUCACGUCACCAAUUUUUGAUGCUUGAAUGUGUAUUUAGGAGCUUCGUUACAGGCACUUAUCUCUGCAAAAUGCAUCCCAGCAUCGUGGCCUGAAUCACACAGUGUUUCCUGACCAGUGACAUAAAGAAUUACAACAAGUGACCAUUGGGGACUGGCUCUGGUGUCUUUGAAGAAAGGACUGUCCUUCGGACGAGGAAAUCUUGAGCCCAAGGAUGUGCUUAAGGCUGGCCUGAUCUGGGCUUUGUUUUCAGGGCUGCUUUGAGUGAUGAGGCUUGGAAGAGCAGGGUCACCAAUUCUGAGGGUAUUUCCACCAGAAGCAAUUGGGAGGUUUUGCUGAGCCUGUCCAGCUUGGUGGGAAGGAGAUAAUCACAGCCUGGUAAUUAAAAAGGGAACAGGGCAGACAGGCAGUGUUCUGAAACAAACUGGUUGGACCAAGUGCUAGGAAGAAGAGUAUCUUACUUACCUUUCCCCCUUCAUCCUUGUUUUUGUUUAUGCAGGAGCAGCAAAACCUGACUUCAUUUUUCUAGCUGAAGUGAUCCGUGGCUUUGCUGUGCGUCCUGUAACUCGGCAGGUAUUACAGACUGUAUUCCUAACUAAUGAACGGAGUGAUUAAUUUAUUUAACGUGUCAGACGUGGCAGAAGGUGCUGCAGCCAGUCACCGCUCAAGAAGCUAAUUGCUGCACUAAGAAAACAAAUCUGUGCAAGUCCGCAUUUCGGAGUUAUUUCCAAACAUUAACUCAAAAGUUAUUUCAGUAAUGAGGCCUCUUAAAAGAAGCAUCACUUUUCACAGCACAUGGCAGAGCUCCGUUGACCCUCCAGCACUGCUCAGCUGGGAGAAGCACAGUUCAAACGAAACUUCAGCCAUAAAACUCGGGCGAGAGGGAGGGCUGUGUAAACUCUGUGAUUAAUUAGCAGUCAGCAGUAUUGAAAUGCAUGAGAAGGGGAAGAACUGGCUCUGUGCAGAGAUUUUGGAACCCUUGUUUGUGGUCUGGAUGACAAGGUGUAUCACAGGCAGAAUCCCCCCAAGUCCCCGCUUCUGUCUGAUUUUUUUAGAGAUCUUACACAGAUCUAUACCUACUAAAAGUCACUUUUGGCUUAUCCUGGAGAGGUUUUAGGGGUAUUUCCCAAAUCAUUCCUUUACCUCCUAACUUGCUGAGAGGAAUACAUCUGA
Hirundo rustica (Barn swallow) is the source of this 1721-nucleotide long non-coding RNA. RefSeq lists it as uncharacterized. The transcript is spliced from 3 exons. Lineage: Eukaryota; Metazoa; Chordata; Aves; Passeriformes; Hirundinidae. The record is from RefSeq and is a predicted model, not a curated record.